RNAcentral lists this ribosomal RNA (790 nucleotides) under uncultured Methanoculleus sp. Its description in RNAcentral is "bacterial SSU rRNA". It matches the Rfam family "Archaeal small subunit ribosomal RNA", at positions 85 to 879 of the family's 1478-position model. Lineage: Archaea; Methanobacteriati; Methanobacteriota; Methanomicrobia; Methanomicrobiales; Methanomicrobiaceae. The record is from RNAcentral.
ACUGCUCAGUAACACGUGGACAACCUACCCUUGGGUCUGGCAUAAUCCUGGGAAACUGGGUAUAAUUCCAGAUAGGUCACAGAUGCUGGAAUGCACUGUGGCCGAAAGCUCCGGCGCCCAAGGAUGGGUCUGCGGCCUAUCAGGGUUGUAGUGGGUGUAACGGACCUACUAGCCUACGACGGGUACGGGUUGUGAGAGCAAGAGCCCGGAGAUGGAUUCUGAGACAUGAAUCCAGGCCCUACGGGGCGCAGCAGGCGCGAAAACUUUACAAUGCGGGAAACCGUGGUAAGGGAACCCCGAGUGCCUGUAUAUGCAGGCUGUCCAGGUGUCUAAAAAACACCUGAAGAAAGGGCCGGGCAAGACCGGUGCCAGCCGCCGCGGUAAUACCGGCGGCUCGAGUGGUGGCCACUUUUAUUGGGCUUAAAGCGUUCGUAGCUGGGUUGUUAAGUCUCUUGGGAAAUCUGACGGCUCAACCGUCAGGCGUCCAAGGGAUACUGGCAAUCUUGGAACCGGGAGAGGUGAGGGGUACUUCGGGGGUAGGAGUGAAAUCCUGUAAUCCUCGAGGGACCACCUGUGGCGAAGGCGCCUCACCAGAACGGCUUCGACAGUGAGGGACGAAAGCUGGGGGAGCAAACCGGAUUAGAUACCCGGGUAGUCCCAGCCGUAAACGAUGCGCGUUAGGUGUAUCGGUGACCACGAGUCACCGAGGUGCCGAAGGGAAACCGUGAAACGUGCCGCCUGGGAAGUACGGUCGCAAGGCUGAAACUUAAAGGAAUUGGCGGGGGAGCAC